GUGCUCACUUCAGCAGCCCAUAUACUAAAAUUGGAAUGAGAUAGAGAAUAUUUGUAUGGCCCCUGCACAAGAAUAACACAAAAAUUUGUGAAGUGUCCCAUAAAAAA
This is a small nuclear RNA of Cercocebus atys (sooty mangabey), 107 nucleotides long. NCBI's taxonomy places the organism in Eukaryota, Metazoa, Chordata, Mammalia, Primates, Cercopithecidae. The record is from Ensembl.